Molecule: long non-coding RNA, 1397 nt
Filed under: Canis lupus familiaris (dog)
Lineage: Eukaryota; Metazoa; Chordata; Mammalia; Carnivora; Canidae
Description: lncRNA (ENSCAFG00845023244.1)
Source: RNAcentral
GCCCUGGGCCAAAGGCAGGCGCUAAACCGCUGCGCCACCCAGGGAUCCCUGAUUUUUAUUUUUUUAAGAUUUAUUCAUUUAUUCAUGAGAGACAGAGAGGCAGGGACGCAGGCAGAGGCAGAAGCAGGCUCCCUGUAGGGAGCUCAAUGCGGGACUCAAUCCCAGGACCCCAGGAUCACGACCUGAGCCAAAGGCAGAUGCUCAACCACUGAGCCACCCCAGUGCCCCUCUGAUCUUGGGUUCAUGAGUUUGAGCCCCAUGUUAGGUAUGGAGAUUAUUAUUAUAAUUAUAAAACAAUUAAAAAUUGUAUUAUGGCCUAGAAUAUUGUCUGUCUUGGUAAAUGUUCCAUGUGCACCUAAGAAGAAUGUGUAUUCUGGCAUUUAGUGGAGUGUUCUAUAAAUGUCAGUUAGGUCAAAUUGGUUGACAGUGUUCUUCAAAUCUGUAUCAUACUGAUUUUCUGUCUAGCUUUCUAUCAAUUACUUGGGAAAAGUGCUAAAAUAUCCAAUUAUAAUUAUGGAUUUGUCUAUUUCUUAUUUUCCUUUUUUUUAUUUUAUUUUUAUGUUUUUAAUAUUUUUUUAUUUUUUUUAUUUUUUUCUUAUUUUCAAUAUAGCCACUUUAGCUUUCAUUUAAUUUUAUUUGUAUGAUAUACAUUUUCCCAUCCCUUUUAACUGUUUCUUUAGAUUUGAGUUUCUUAUAGACAACAUGUGGCUGGGUCUUAGUAUUUUAUCCAAUAUGAUCAUCCUUACCUUUUAAUUGGGUGUUUACAACAUUUACAUUUAAUAUAAUUAUCAGUAUGGUUGAAUUUGAAGCUAUCAUCUAGGCUAUAUAUUUCUUAUUCCAUCUUCUCUGUUACUUCUUUCUUGUCUCCCUGCUCUCCUUUGGAUUGACUAUUUUUCAUAAUUCCAUUUUGUCUCCACUAUUGGUGUAUUAGUUAGUUAUACCUUUAUUUCUUUAGUUGUUGCUCUGGAGUAUAUAUAAUACAUUUUUAAAAAUAUUUUAUUUAUUCAUAGACACAGAGGGAGAGGCAGAGACACAGGGAGAGGGAGAAGCAGGCAGGGAGCCCAAUGUGGGACUCGAUCCCGGGUCUCCAGGAUCACACCCCAGGCUGCAGGCGGUGCCAAACCACUGUGCCACCAGGGCUGCCCUAUAUAAUAUAUUUUAUUUUUUCAUUUUUAUUUUUUAAAGAUUUCAUUUUUUAAGUAAUUUCUAUACCAAAUGUGGAGCUCAAACUCACAACCCCGAGAUCAAGAGUCACAUGCUCUAUUGUCUGAACCAACCAGGUGUCCCUGGAGUAUAUAAAAUACAUUUUAAAUAUCAUUCUACCUUCAAUUAAUAUUUCAUGUGUAGUAUAAGAACAUUAGAGUAAGAAGUGCUCAUUUAAAAAAAAAAAAAAAAAA